UACUGCACGGGCCCCCCAACCUUAGCUUCAUAAGCUAGAUGAACAGGUAAGUGCUCCAUUGAGUCAAAAAAUGCAGGAGGGAAUAUCUUCUCAAGUUUGCAGAGAGUUACCACAAUAUUUUUCUCAAGAACCUCCAUAUCUUGGACACGCAAAGUUGUGUUGCAUAAAUCUCUAAAGUAACAGCUUAAUUCUAUCAAUGCAUCCCACACUGGUGCUGGCAAUACUUCACGGAAUGCAAUUGGAAGCAAUCUCAGCAUGAAAACAUGACA
RNAcentral lists this long non-coding RNA (269 nucleotides) under Phoenix dactylifera (date palm). Its description in RNAcentral is "long non-coding RNA (PDAC_LNC000959)". Lineage: Eukaryota; Viridiplantae; Streptophyta; Magnoliopsida; Arecales; Arecaceae. The record is from RNAcentral.